UCUUUAGUUUGCCUCAACCAAAUGUUAUGAAACUUAUACACAAUGCUUAUUACCACAAAACACAGAUCAAGUUUGAAUUUUGGUGGCGUCACUUUUACCGUUCUAGAGUUAUGCCCCUUUACAAAUGGGAAAAUUGCUGAAUUUUUAUACGACCGCAAAAAAAUUUUGUGGUCGUAUAUUGGUAUGACGUUGGCGUCGUCGUCCGAAGACACAUUGGUUUUCGCACUCUAACUUUAGUUUAAGUGAAUAGAUCUCUAUGAUAUUUGGCCAUAAGGUUCAAUGCCACAGAAGAAAGGUUGGGAUUGAUUUUGGGGGUUAUGGAACCAACAGUCAAGGAAUUAGGGGCCAAAAAUAAGCAUUUUUGUAACUUCCAGACAUAAAUUGUGUGUUAGCGUAUGGAUCUCUCUGACAUUGUACCACAAGGUUCCAUAUCACAAAGGGAAUGCUUGGUUUGAUUUUGGGGAUAAUUGCCUCAAAAUUUUAGGAAUUAGGGGCCAAAAAAGGGGCAAAAAACAAGCAUUUUUCUAGUUUCAUGACAAUAACUUGUGUGUUAGUGUAUGGAUCUUUCUGAAAUUGUACUACAAGGUUCCAUAUCACAAAGGGAAAGCUGGAAUUGAGUUUAGGGGUAAUUGCCCAAAACGUUUAAAAAUAAGGGGCCAAAAAAGGGCCAAAAAUAAGCAAUUUUCUAGUUUCCAGAGAAUAACUUGUGUUCAAGUGUAUGGAUCUUUCUGAAAUUGUACUACAAGGUACCAUACCACAAAGGGAAGGCUGGGAUUGAUUUUUGGGGGGAAAUGCCUUAAAAUUUUAGGAAUUAGGGGCCAAAAAGGGGCAAAAAACAAGCAUUUUUCUAGUUCCAGGACAAUAACUUGUGUGUAAGUGUAUGGAUCUUUAUGAAAUUGUACUACAAGGUUCCAUAUCACAAAGGGAAAGCUGGGUUUGAGUUUGGGGGUAAUUGCCCUAAAUGUUUAGGAAUUUGAGGCCAAAAAGGGGCCAAAAAACAAGCAUUUUUCUAGUUUCCAGACAAUUUAUUGUGUUCAAGUGUAUGGAUCUCUCUGAAAUUGUACUGCAAGGUAACAUACCA
Long non-coding RNA from Mytilus californianus (California mussel), 1081 nucleotides. RefSeq lists it as uncharacterized. The transcript is spliced from 2 exons. The record is from RefSeq and is a predicted model, not a curated record. Lineage: Eukaryota; Metazoa; Mollusca; Bivalvia; Mytilida; Mytilidae.